Molecule: long non-coding RNA, 1019 nt
Organism: Podarcis raffonei (Aeolian wall lizard)
Lineage: Eukaryota; Metazoa; Chordata; Lepidosauria; Squamata; Lacertidae
Exons: 2
Source: RefSeq, a predicted model, not a curated record
UAACUCUGUCUCCAAACAUGCCUUUGAGAGCAACUUUUCUCAGUCUCACGUUUAUGAUAUUGAGUCAGCUGUUUUUACCUUUUCUGGACCCAGGGUGCAACCAGACAUGACAGCCGGAGGUCUGGGAUUAGAGCAGCUUCCCUUUUUUAUUUACUAAGUAGCUGCUGGAGGUGGUGAGGAGGAAUCUGAUAAGGAUUGUGGUGCUGCUGGAAGAAGUUGAUUCUUUCUCCCCUCCCUCCAUUUUCCUCAUAAAACUGCCCUCUCCAAAGCUGCUAUUUUCUCUGCAGGUAGCACACUUUUAAAGAAUAGCAGGAGACCCAGUUACAGAUUUCCCACACUCUUCUGCCAUUUGGCCCUCAGAAUAUGGAGAUAAUUGAUAUAUGAGCAUCGUAAUGGGCAACUUGAAUCAGCAGCCACAUUCUGGGCUCUCUUUGCUGGCUGUGUGCCCUCCUGGGGAAUUUCCUUCCCGUGGCUGACCAUGAAGGCCUCCGCUUGGAUGUGUCGAUGUACGAAGGCCUCUGGUCCUAGGCCUGCAACUGUUGGAACUCCAGAGAGCUUAGUGUUCGCAAUUCCACCCUCUUGUUAUAAUGUCUGUUCUGGGUCUUCUGGAUUGAAGUAAAUAAUAAAUAAUGGGGACAAAGAACCAAAUUAUGAGAAGCAUCUCUCUUUCAGUGGAGAAGAAGAGAAUUCAAAACAAAAUGCUUGAAUGGUGAUUCAGUGAAGAAUGACACUGGAAGCUAGUAGAACAAAACAAAUAUUUUAAGCGUUUUUAUCUGUUUGCCAAACUCUCCGUAAGCAGCUUGGUAUUUGUAUUCCGGCUUGCCUUGUUUCAUGUGUCAUGAAAUACCUUUUCAGAUCCAGGAGCAAUGCCAGAAAGUGUUAAAACAGACGCUUCACUUUUAAAAUGAUCUACUUUAUAGUCUGAGUGCAGUGUCGCCCAGAAUCCCAUUUUAAAGGUUGUAAUGUCCGCAGACAAGCUUUGCAACACAAAGCCGAAUUAUCCCCAUAAUGCAUGUUUU